This is a long non-coding RNA of Salvia miltiorrhiza (redroot sage), 797 nucleotides long. RefSeq lists it as uncharacterized. The record is from RefSeq and is a predicted model, not a curated record. The transcript has 2 exons. NCBI's taxonomy places the organism in Eukaryota, Viridiplantae, Streptophyta, Magnoliopsida, Lamiales, Lamiaceae.
GGAGUCGAUUCGCCGCCACCAUUCACAGUAGCAGCAGCAACCUACAAUUCCCUCAUUUCAAGGUAAUUAUGUCUAGCAAUGAUGAGUACAAUGAGUACAAUGAUGAAAAUACUUACACGACAUAUACAAGUGAUAUGCCGAGUACUGGUACGCCUGCUGCCCCUGCUGCCUAGCCUGCCCUUGCAGCCACAACUACAAAAACUGGUUUGGGAACGUCCAAUCCCACAGCUAAGCCCCCAACGAACAAAAGAAAACAAAGGUCAACUGCUUGGGAUCACUUUAAAGUUACUGUUAGUGCAGAUGGUUCUAAAACAUGUGUGUGUAAAUAUUGUGGCCAUACUUAUCACAAAGUGACAAAUAAAACUGAAACUGGAAACAUGAUACGUCAUUUAGAGGGUUGUCAAAGGAAGAACACACAUGAUGUGGGUGAAUUGGUGACUACAAGUAAAUCAAAAUUUGAUCAUGUUCACUUUAGGGAGUUAUUGUCUGCUGCUAUUGUUGUUCAUGAUUUGCCAUUCCGAUUUGUUGAAUAUGAACACAUUAUAGCUAUUUUUGAGUAUCUUAAGUGGGAUAUUAAGAUGGUUUCUAGAAAUACAGUGAAGGCUGAUGUUUUGAAAUUGUAUGAAAGAGAAAAGAUGAGGAUUAAGUCUGAAUUGCAAAAAGCAUCUGGUAGAAUGUCCUUGACUUCUGAUUGUUGGAGUUCGAUUACCACUGAUGGUUAUACUUCUCUUACUUGUCACUUCAUUGAUAAGGAAUGGGUGUUACAUAAGAAGGUCUUGAAUUUUUCUUUGAUGCCA